This 498-nucleotide ribosomal RNA is filed under the name uncultured bacterium. RNAcentral's name for it is "partial 16S ribosomal RNA". It matches the Rfam family "Bacterial small subunit ribosomal RNA", at positions 28 to 507 of the family's 1533-position model. The record is from RNAcentral.
GACGAACGCUGGCGGCGUGCCUAAUACAUGCAAGUCGAACGAGAGCGACCGGUGCUUGCACUGGUCAAUCUAGUGGCGAACGGGUGAGUAACACGUGGGUAACCUGCCCAUCAGAGGGGGAUAACAUCCGGAAACGGAUGCUAAAACCGCAUAGGUCUUCGAGCCGCAUGGCUUGAAGAGGUAAAGAGGCGCAAGCUUCUGCUGAUGGAUGGACCCGCGGUGCAUUAGCUAGUUGGUGAGGUAACGGCUCACCAAGGCCGUGAUGCAUAGCCGACCUGAGAGGGUGAUCGGCCACAUUGGGACUGAGACACGGCCCAAACUCCUACGGGAGGCAGCAGUAGGGAAUCUUCCGCAAUGGACGCAAGUCUGACGGAGCAACGCCGCGUGAGUGAAGAAGGUUUUCGGAUCGUAAAACUCUGUUGUUAGAGAAGAACAAGUGCUAGAGUAACUGUUAGCGCCUUGACGGUAUCUAACCAGAAAGCCACGGCUAACUACGUG